RNAcentral lists this ribosomal RNA (430 nucleotides) under Pseudomonadota bacterium. RNAcentral describes it as "Proteobacteria bacterium partial 16S ribosomal RNA". It matches the Rfam family "Bacterial small subunit ribosomal RNA", at positions 355 to 776 of the family's 1533-position model. Lineage: Bacteria; Pseudomonadati; Pseudomonadota. The record is from RNAcentral.
UGGGGAAUAUUGGACAAUGGGGGGAACUCUGAUCCAGCCAUGCCGCGUGUGUGAAGAAGGCCUUAUGGUUGUAAAGCACUUUAAGCGAGGAGGAGGGUACUGGUAUUAGUACUACCAGCUACUGGACGUUACUCGCAGAAUAAGCACCGGCUAACUCUGUGCCAGCAGCCGCGGUAAUACAGAGGGUGCGAGCGUUAAUCGGAUUUACUGGGCGUAAAGCGUGCGUAGGCGGCUAAUUGAGUCGGAUGUGAAAUCCCCGAGCUUAACUUGGGAAUUGCAUUCGAUACUGGUUAGCUAGAGUGUGGGAGAGGAUGGUAGAAUUCCAGGUGUAGCGGUGAAAUGCGUAGAGAUCUGGAGGAAUACAGAUGGCGAAGGCAGCCAUCUGGCCUAACACUGACGCUGAGGUACGAAAGCAUGGGGAGCAAACAGG